This is a long non-coding RNA of Bufo gargarizans (Asiatic toad), 1245 nucleotides long. RefSeq lists it as uncharacterized. Lineage: Eukaryota; Metazoa; Chordata; Amphibia; Anura; Bufonidae. The transcript is spliced from 3 exons. The record is from RefSeq and is a predicted model, not a curated record.
UGACUAUUCAACAGCAUGCCAUUACACUAAUAUGUUUUUCACUGAAACAAAGCACUAUCCUAACGUCAUUUGGAUCUGAUCACAUUAGGACAGUUUUGUCUCCGUUCUCCAGGCUGUCUGCUAGAUUCUAAAAACGGCUGUGGUCACAUGACCAUGUCCAUGCAGCUCUUUCCUUAUUUCCUGUAAUAUGUCCAUGGGCGUGUCAGUGCUGGGGGAGUGUCUAUGCAACUAUCUGGUAGGAGGAGCUAUGUCACUAGCUGGGUGUUGCUAGGGGCGGUGCUGGAGCAAUGGCGGACGAAGAAGUGCAUCAUGGGUUUGGUCGGAUACAACAGGACAUGCUACAUAUGGGAUGUAACAAACCAGAGUGAUUCUUUCACAUAGUGAAAACGGGUCCAUGCGGAGGAUGCGCUGAAUAUAACUUUGCUCUGUUUAAUUGUCAGAUAUACUGUAUCUCAUUAUGAUUGCAGCAGAGAGGUAUGUUCUACUAAAAGGAGGAGAUAUCUGCUUUGAAGGAAGUCGAUUCCUUAUGGGUCAUCUCAUGUAAUUUCAAGGCUGGCUAUUCAAAUCUGUUUUCUCCCUGUUCUACACCAUUAAUUUAGUCAUUUACCCUCCCAUGCUUUUCUGUAAACAGUUUUUAGUAAGAACAUUCAUUGCUUCCCAUCUCAUUUUAUUAUUGGAACUACAGCAGUAUUCCGAGUUCUUCUAUCCCUUCUUGCAUAGGCUUAGAUGAAAUAAUAAAGCGGAGAACAGUCUGUCCCUGGGAGCAUUAGCAGCUAGGCUGGCAUGGAGCGGAAAAUGCAAGAAGCUGGGGUUAGGGUGGAUUCACUAAUUUUUUCUUAUCACUUUUUUACAUGCAUUUUUGGUGCUUGAAAAAAAUAAUACACCACUUCUUAAUGUUAAUGUGAGAACACAGUAUAAACAUGCCUUUUUAUUCAUCUGCAGUGCAUUUGGUGGUCAAUGACAUUUUUAUUUAAUUGCAGCAUGCUCUGGCUAUUGAAUUUUUUUGUUCAUUUGCUAGACUUUUUGUGCCAUAGACACCCAAUGCCCUUUUGCCCCGCUUCCAAAAACACCAAAACAAUGCACCAGAAACACCUAAAAAACUCUACAAAAAUGCAUGUCAAGUUAAAGCAGUAUUCAUUGUUCUUUGCAUAUGCUUAGAUGAAAUAAUAAAGCUAAGAAGAGUCUGUCUCUAUGAAAAUUAGAGGAAAAAUGCACUGAGAGGAAAAAGCUAAGACAAAAAGCUUA